UACGUAGGGUGCAAGCGUUAAUCGGAAUUACUGGGCGUAAAGCGUGCGCAGGCGGUUUUGUAAGUCUGACGUGAAAUCCCCGGGCUCAACCUGGGAAUUGCGUUGGAGACUGCAAGGCUAGAAUCUGGCAGAGGGGGGUAGAAUUCCACGUGUAGCAGUGAAAUGCGUAGAGAUGUGGAGGAACACCGAUGGCGAAGGCAGCCCCCUGGGUUAAGAUUGACGCUCAUGCACGAAAGCGUGGGGAGGAAACAGG
Molecule: ribosomal RNA, 253 nt
Filed under: uncultured bacterium
Lineage: Bacteria
Description: partial 16S ribosomal RNA
Rfam family: Bacterial small subunit ribosomal RNA
Source: RNAcentral